UCUUCUCCACACAUGACACAUAUGCAACCUAAAUUGAUUUUCAGUUGUUCUUUCAAUAAAUUGUGAAUCUCAACACUUCAGAUUAACCGUGAACAACACUUUUUUAAUCUUCAAGUUUUCCUUAAGUUAUUGAAUUGGACGGGAAAACGCAUACAACAAUUCAAAACAUUCUUCAAAAGUCCCCUAUGUGAAAAGCACAAUAGAGAUACAAUCAAAGAUCAUUAAACUUUAUGAAAACUAUAAGCAUUGACGAGGCAUUCGUAAAUAUGAAAAGCAUGAUACUCUUGCCAAGAAUUUACUUAACGUGAUUGUGACUAGCAACCUUUACUACUUGUGAAAAUAAGUUCAUAACGAUUAGGUGAAAUUCACUUAUAUUCUAGCAUCAAAUUCAUGCAUGUAAAUUAAGCGUGCACUCUCAACCAACAUACACAAAUCAGUUUUUAUACGAACGGAUAAGUAAAUUGAAUUCACAACUUAUGAAAUCACAACCGAAGGUAAUCAAUUCAUAUUACAAAUAUAUCCAUGACUUUGAAUUAACCUCUAGCCAAAAUAAAUUUAAUUACACAUUAUUAAAAAUAGAAAUAAAAUAGAAGUUUAGAGAGAUUAAACCGAAAGAGAAAAAGAUCUCUGUCUGCGUUUCCACUGAGCAGCCCUCUCGCUGCCCAAAGGCAGCGCCUAUCUUUCUGCGUGCUGUCUCCUGCUCGUUUCUGGUUCUCUCCACCCCUCACGCUACUCAAUGACUCACGCUACUCACUGACUCCCUCGCUGCAAGGCAGCCUUUUCACAUUCCUGUCGUUUGUCUUGCUGUCCUUCCACUCUCUCAAGCUGCCCAAUGGCAGCCCGUCUAAUCUCUCCCCGCGUUUUCUCUCCGCAGCUUCACGCUGCCCAAAGGGCAGCCCUCUGCCUUCCACCAAUUCCCUGCGCCUUUUCUGCUUUGUAUUCUUCCCUUCUGCGCCUCGCUGGCGCC
This 967-nucleotide long non-coding RNA is filed under the name Malus domestica (apple). Its description in RNAcentral is "long non-coding RNA (MDOM_LNC008350)". Lineage: Eukaryota; Viridiplantae; Streptophyta; Magnoliopsida; Rosales; Rosaceae. The record is from RNAcentral.